GUAGGUGCAACUCCCAGCUGGGCAGCCAGAGGGGAAGCAGGAGAGAGCGGCUGGCACUUGGCUUUGGACGGCCUCCACCUGUGCCUCUGCCUGGCCCGGCCUCCCUCCCACAGGGAAGUGGAGCCGCGUCACAGGGUGUGCCCGGUCCACGUGCCCCACCAGGAGCCCCCUGAAACCAGCGUUCCCAGAGCCGAGAAGAUGGACGAUCAGCUUCCAGCACCCUCCCCCAGUCUGGCUGGGACUUGCAUCAGUCACGUAAGUAGCUGUGACUCAGCAGCAGCGCUGGGUCAGGAGGCAGAGCUGUGGCCUGGGCAGGCUUCCCCGUUCUGCAUUUGAACAUGGCCUGGUGCAGUUCCUGGGUCCAGUGGGUUCCAGUUUGGAUUUUGCAAACAAAGAUUCCCCCUCCUUCCAGUUUUCCUCCCUUGUUAUUUUUUGGGGCACUAUGGUGGGCAUAAGAUAUUUAGGACUUUAAAAGACCUUACAUGGUUUAUAAAACGAAGGGGAAGCUCUCAUUGUGAUCUUUGUUUUGAGCCAGUGGCCCAUGAAGCGUGUUGAACCCUCAUCUGUGUUUGGUUUGGCCCGAGUGGCGUUACUUUACGUGUCUGAUUCUGUGGGCCUCGGGACGCAGUGCGGCCAGUCACUCUGUCUCUGCUGCUGCUGCUGCUGCUCCUCUGUCCUGGGACCAAACAGACCCUCCAAGCCGCCGCGUGUUGGUGACCAGUCCACCCAGCCUCCCUUUCACACCUGGGACACAGAGGCCCGUUCAGGGCAAGUGGCAGGUCCCUCCCCCGUGCUCAGAGUCUGGGCAGAGCCAGGGUCCUGACCUUUCCUCCAGCCCGGCAUCCCUGCCCGGGCAGAGGAGUGUCCUGGGGUGGCAGAAAAGCUGCAGGGAGAACGCAACUCCCAGCCCCCUUCCCUGCCCGGGACAGGCCUCAGGGCUCCUGUCCACGGCCCCUGCGGGGUGUUCUCCUUCCCAGGCCGCCCUGCCAACCCUUCCACACAGCCGGGGUGCGUAGGCCCCUUUGGCCGAGGCAGGAGACCCCUUCGCUCUCAGUGGGCAGCUGAGCCCCUCAGGCUGACUCGAUUUCCUGAGACCCAGAUGGGCUUAGGCUCGGUGCUGGGGAGGUGGAGCCUCUUUCAGCCCCUGUGACAUCACGUGCUGCUUCUGGCUAGCGAGCAGCCACCAGCUCCUUCCCUGCCCAUCUGACCGAGAGGGGAACCUCGCUUCUGUUAGGACUGAGAUCCAGAUGGCCCUUUCGUUCAUUGGGAAUCAAAGGACAGAAGAUUUGGGUGAAACCCUGCUUCUUUCAGACUGCUUAAGGCAGCCCACCCUUAAUGGUCUCACGCCUCUUCUAACAGAGGUGAGAGUGAGCUGUGGACUCUCAGGAGGCGUCCCAGACGCUGGCUCCUGAGCACAGUCCCAUGGUGGCAGUGGCUCCCUGCUAGGCACAGUGGGUCUCCUGGACCCUGGAUGGCGCUAUGCUUCCUGGUUAGUAGGAGGGUCAUUCAUUCAGUGCCACACAGAAAACCACUCCAGAAAGGGGAGAAAGACAGCCCUCUCACAAGCCAGGAGGCUGAGACAGGACGGGCGGCUGGUUGGAGAGAUUCUUUCAGAGCAGGCAGGACAGCGGGCCAGGGAGGCCCCUCUGGAGGCCAGCAGGCACACAGCAAGGGAGUUUGGGUGACGACUACAGUUGCUAAGGGAGAGUUUGGCUAAAACAAAAAGCAGAAAGGCUGAGAAUUGUCCAGGGUGAGUCUCCCCCCUUACAGGACUGGAUAUCUGGUGAUAACUGUCCUGUAACGCUCGCCGUCACCUGGCUCCCAAGGCCCGGGUGUCCCUCAGCACCCCGUGUCAGACCUGUGGCCGAGGCGUGGCAGGUCCCCUGGGCUGCAGAGCCUGCUGCUGGCGUCAGAACUGCCAGGGAGAGCUCACUGGCCGCACGUUCCCUUGCUGAGAGGGCCGCAGGCACAGCAGAGGCUCAAGAGAGCACAAGCAGACCACCCGGGCCACCAGCCCCUUUGCAGAGCCUGGAUCCCAGCGCAGUGUGGCGUGCUGUACAAGGGGCCCGCCCACUUCGCUGCGGAAACACCGCCUGCAUGCUUCCGACCCCCCCCCCCCGGGUCUCGCUCAGCAUCGGGCAGGCGGGAACCAGGCUCGGGGCUUACCCCCGGGCCGCCUGUACUGCUCGUGUGACCUUGGACACAGGCUGUUCUUGGUGAAGGUCACUUUCUUCCGCAAAAGUCGGCAGAAUACCUUCUUCAUACAGCUGUGGUGAGCAUUAAAUAGCACAGUUCUUGCUCACAUUGUAUUCCCUCCUCUUCCUGAAGCAACACAUACUGUUACUGCCAUGAAAGAGCCAUAGAAAAGAACCCUGUAUCCCGAGGCCCAACUCAGACACACAGCUGCUGCUCCGUCUCCUCCCUGGGCCAGGACAUCAGAGGAGAGGCAUUUUUAGAACCUCAUAGGAUGUUGUGGAAGAAGAAAUUAAUUUGAAACAGAUUAUAAGUUACAUGUUCAGGCAGAUUUUGAACGCAAAACUCAGUAUGAGUAUUAGCGGAUUAUCUACGAAACAAUGAUAGGAUGCGAUUUUCAAAGUCACCCCCCAGGUGAAAUGGGAUUCCACCUAAUCAGUCACGCCUCAAUGUUCUGUGGCUCACAGACCCGAGGGGGGCAGCCUCGGGCUCUCGCCAGGCAGCGCCCGUUUGUGCAGAAGCACCGCGUAGACGGGCAGCUGCCACGGCUGGGUCCUCUGCAUGCUGGGAAAUAGUCCUUAAACGCAGGGCAGUCUGGACGGAUGCUCUUUAACCCUGGCCCUGGCUCUUCCGUUUCAUCCCGUGCCAUGACUUACACUGACGGGUUGUGAAAUUAAGCAGAACUGGUGAGUUUUGUACCCUUCACACCGCGUCAGCCCAGCUUUUAGGAGCUGCUCGGUGUCUGUCUCGUCUCCCUGCGGGUCGCUCUGUCACAUCACAGGUAGAGCUGCGAGACGUUUCUCCAGGAGAUGGGGGCCAAGUCUUCAGAUCACUCUCUUCAUCCUCUUCGGUGAAUCCUCUUCUUCUGGAAGCUGGUUUCACAUGGUGGCUUAGAUUUUUCGAUCUUUGUAUCUAGCACCAUUUGAAAUCAGUGUUUUAGGAGUAAGAAUUGCAGCAUGACGCGAGGAGGGCUUCUUGGAGUUGCUGCCCGCGGCCCAGCUCUCCAGUGGCGGGACUCCGAAGGCAGAACGCACCUGUGGAUGUGUUGGGUUUGGAGGGCGGCCGAGGAGAGGUCUGUGCUGGGAUGAACGCAGUGGCCUGGCCGGGCAGAGGCAGUCCGUGCUCCUCUGUGAGUCAGGGUGCUGUACGGGCGGCUGUGGUAGGAGGGAGUCCGGGGCCUGCUGCAGCCACCUCAGCGCUGGCUGCCUGCUCCGAGGACGCCCAGGACCGGCUGCAGUCCCGCACCGCUGCUCGCAGGCUUGCCGUCCGCAGGGAGCUGCCCACCGCUGGCUCGUCUCUUACACAGGCUGACCGAUUUCUCCUGGUGUUCAGAGUCUGUUUUUGUCUAGCACCAUUUGAAAUCGGUUAUGAUGUAGGGGGAAAAGCAGCAGCCGCCGCGAAGCCUUGCGCCGGUGUGGUCAGCACAGCCUGUGGGCUCCUGGAGAACGGGCGGGCAGAGGCGGGGGAGAAAGAUCGCGCUUUCCCUGCCACCUUCUUUAACUGUACUUAGGUCACUGUGGAGGUAAGAGAUAAUUUAAUGGAAAAGCAUUAUAAUUUGUCUGAUGUCCUCAGCUGCAUUUUCUGAAACGCAGCACUGCUGCGAUUGUGUAGUGGUUGCUGUUGACAUGUCUUUGUUAGGAAGAGUCUGCUCAUGCGUCCUGACUUUAAUAAAUAAUGUGCUGUGUUCCACUGAUCAUGGCCGUGUUUUUCAUCUGUUAUUUUCCAUUCACAAUUCUGUGACGAUGAGAAGUUAGUUCUGAAAAAGUGAUUUGCUGCGCAGAUCAUCCUACCUGCUUCCUGAGGCAUUUAGAGGUGGUUGCAACAGACGUGAAAAAUGAAGCUCAGGAAGACAAAAAUGAGGUCCUGUGAGCUGGGAAAAUGGAUUAGAGAAGAGAAAAAUGUUGGUGAUGUAGGCUGAGGGAACGGGAAACUGUCCUCGGCUCCCCAAGAGCCGUGGAUGCAGUGCCUCUGCAGAAGGUUCCAGAAACUUGUACUUCGCAGUAUCGUGUGGGCCCGAGCGGAGCAGCACUAAUUUCAGUUGCGUUUUAACAGAUGGAGUUCUACUUUUGGCUGUUAGUUUCUAUCAACUCUCGACGACAGGGUGAGCCAGUUUUGUAGUACUAUUCAGAGAUUAGCCAGAUUUGACUUCUCAGGAGGUGAAGCCCCGACUCUGGGAAGGAAGAUGUAGUCCCUUGGUCGGGCCUUCCCACAGGAAGUACCGGCCCUGUGCUCCCUGCAGGACAGGUAUUUCAGACAGUGAUUUACCUGGACACCAGGCGACGGCAAAUCAGACACCAGAAGCCUUUUCAAAGCCCACGUCCCACCAGGCUCCCCCAGAUGGCUGCCCUGCCCGGGGGCCUGGGGGUGGAAGGCGGAUGAAGCAUUUGUUGGGAAGAUUUCCCAGUGAAUGUGGUGCAUCCUGCAGCUGCAGAGCUAUUUCAGGCUGCUGAUUGAAGAAUCCAUGUUCUAAUCCCCAGGAUGUGGUGGUGAGAAUAGCUAAGGCCUUACAUUGUAUUGUCUUAUUCGCUUCUCUGUCGAAGUAAGCUACAGCAGUAC
Heterocephalus glaber (naked mole-rat) is the source of this 4749-nucleotide long non-coding RNA. The record is from Ensembl. NCBI's taxonomy places the organism in Eukaryota, Metazoa, Chordata, Mammalia, Rodentia, Bathyergidae.